This 303-nucleotide ribosomal RNA is filed under the name uncultured bacterium. Its description in RNAcentral is "partial 16S ribosomal RNA". It matches the Rfam family "Bacterial small subunit ribosomal RNA", at positions 507 to 807 of the family's 1533-position model. The record is from RNAcentral.
AGCAGUCGCCACGGUAAUACGAAGGGUGCAAGCGUUACUCGGAAUUACUGGGCGUAAAGCGUGCGUAGGUGGUGGUUUAAGUCCGUUGUGAAAGCCCUGGGCUCAACCUGGGAAUUGCAGUGGAUACUGGGCCACUAGAGUGUGGUAGAGGAUAGUGGAAUUUCCGGUGUAGCAGUGAAAUGCGUAGAGAUCGGAAGGAACAUCUGUGGCGAAGGCGACUAUCUGGGCCAACACUGACACUGAGGCACGAAGGCGGGGGGAGCAAACAGGAUUAGAUACCCCGGUAGUCCCUGUCUCUUAUAC